AAAGAGGCACCUGAAAAUCUUAAAAAGAGUAAGGA
RNAcentral lists this non-coding RNA (35 nucleotides) under unclassified sequences. RNAcentral describes it as "DUF805b RNA". It matches the Rfam family "DUF805b RNA". From Rfam's summary of the family: Bacteroidetes, Chlorobi (1 example), Proteobacteria. The record is from RNAcentral.